Molecule: ribosomal RNA, 344 nt
Filed under: uncultured bacterium
Lineage: Bacteria
Description: bacterial SSU rRNA
Rfam family: Bacterial small subunit ribosomal RNA
Source: RNAcentral
AAUACCUGAUGGUGUUCAAAUUCCGCAUGUUAUUUGAACUAAAGAUUUAUCGGUAACGGAUGGGGAUGCGUGACAUUAGGUAGAUGGCGGGGUAACGGCCCACCAUGCCUACGAUGUCUAGGGGUUCUGAGAGGAAGGUCCCCCACACUGGAACUGAGACACGGUCCAGACUCCUACGGGAGGCAGCAGUGAGGAAUAUUGGUCAAUGGUCGGAAGACUGAACCAGCCAAGUAGCGUGAAGGAUGAAGGUUCUAUGGAUUGUAAACUUCUUUUAUACGGGAAUAAAACCUCCUACGUGUAGGAGCUUGUAUGUACCGUAUGAAUAAGCAUCGGCUAACUCCGUG